AAAGGGAUAUUUCAAAAAGAGACUUGCCUACCAUGCCAAAGGAAGAUCAGGACUCAUAAUGAGACCAGAAUGCAGGCUAACAAUUGUAGUGAGAGAGAUAACUGCGGAAGAAGAGGCUGAUAUAGCUAGGCUGAGAGUUCACAACUUCAAGAAACUAACUAAGCGGGAGAGACGACUUGUGCCUCAUCAACUUAUUGAGACCACUCCUGUUUGGGGCCGCAAAAGCAAAUCUAGUGGUCAAAACUUGAGUGCUGCACCUGCAUGAGCCUCACUUUGUUUCCAAGUUUUCAUGCUUCAUGGCAUUUUGUGUAAUAGAUUAUUCUUCUUGGUCAUCACAUAAUAUGGAACAGUUGAAAUUUUUUUUGCCCUUGUUGCAAAUGAUAGAAGUUUGUGUUGGAUCAUUUUCAGUGUUAUUCUCAUUUAAUAGCUUAUUUUUCUUCCAUCUAGGUACAAAAAAGGAUAUGCCCUGUUCAAUCAGCAGCAUGAGUUUGUUGUCUAUUUUUUCUUCAUCUGGUGAAUCAUCUAAUGACAGUAUCUAGUUGGUGCAUAUGAUGGAGGUCAUCUGAUGGAUGUCGUGUAUUUUCUAUAAAAUCAACAUGUACUGGUGGCUAUUAUUAAAUGAUACUGAUGGUCAUACACGAUUUCUUUUCUCCUUCACCAAGUAAUUACAUAACGAUGUUUUACAGUCGCAGUUUCGCCAUAACUACGUAGCAAACAUAUUUCUUGAUUCCAAUUCAGGUAUUUGUUUGUUUCUUCUUUUCUUCCUUUAUAUUACUUUUACGAACCAAAACACACAACAACCGUAUUUUUCUUUUCUGCAAACAAUUUUGUGUUGUUUAUGACUCCUUUUGUAGUUCUAUUAUUGCACAAAUCAUAAUAUUCAAGGGGAUCCAAGAGAAACUACUUUUAGAGACGUAAAUUUUUUCUACAAAAUUGUCAUACCAUUUUAUGCGUCAAGGAGCAAAAGGAAUUAAGAGAAACUUGAUUUAAUUUCAAAUUAUGUUUCAUGAUUCAAGUCACUUUCAUACACAAUAUUAAAGUAAAGUAUUUGAAGGAAAAUGUUAAGACAACAAAAAAAUACUUUAAUAUGUUGGGAAAACUAUACUCAGAUUUUAAAUUUAACUUGUUGUAUGAUUUGAUAUACUUGCCAAAUUCGCAACAUUGAUCCAAGAGUUAACUAAUAUUUAAGCUAUAAUGUAUAAAUGUAAUAUAACCACAUUUGUUCUUUAUUUUUUCUUUGUUGUAAAAACAUAAACAUCUCUUAUGUCUUUAUAUUUUAUUUUGAUUCCUUUAUUAAUAAAAAAAUAAAAUUGUUAUGUGUAAACAAAUUCUACUAAUAAAAAAAUAUUUAAUAAAAUUGUAAAACUAAUCCAAAUCAAACCAAACUGAUUUGUUGUGGUUUAAUUUGAUUUGGUUUAAAUUUUUUUAUGUUCAAAUUAAACUGUAUGUAAUUUUAUAUUUGAUUCAAAUGUAUUUUUAAUAAAAAAUUAAUGUCCCGAAAGAAAAUAAAAAAUAUUAUUGUCUUCCUUUCUAAAAGAAAAGAAGUGGUAACAAAAUUGUGAGGAAUUUUUGAGCAAAUAUCUCCUAGUCAAGGUGUAGAAAAUAAUAAAUGAAAUAAUGGUGGCUUUUGCGGUUGCGUUGGUGGCUGUCUAAUGAGAAGUUAAGUAUGUUUUGUGAAUUCAUGAAGCCUAGGUAAACUAUACAAGCUCUAAUAUUCUUGUUGAUACAAAAAUAAUUAAUAAAAAAAAGAAGAUAAGGGACUGAACUCCAAAUAACAGUAAAUAAUGGAUGAACAUAAAAUUUAUUAAGUCUCAAAUCAAACACACUUUUUUGAAAAGGAGGGGUGGCAGAGAUGACAUUGUUACGAAGUUGAAUCUUCAGAGUAUUUAACUUCAGCAACUCACAUACAUACAGAACAUAUCUAACUUCAUCACACACAACAGAUGGCCAUGUAGGUCCAUCUUAUUCAUAAUUGAAUCACUUAAGAAGAAAAAACAGAGACAUAAACUUUUGUUCAUAAUACUUGUACACAAUACAGUUACCAUCAUUUUUCCCUCCACCUCUUAUUGCAAUGAACAAAUCCCAGUUAACCUAAAAGAAAUAAAGGCACAGUUAUAUAUAUCUUCAAGUUUAACUAAUUUGUUUCAAAUAAAGUAAGCCAAUACAAGGACAUGCAAUGACAAAAUGACAAUUAUAUUCAACCCUUCUGAUGUGACAUGAUGAUGGGGUUGUUUUAUGCAGUCCCUUAGUGUAAAUAAUUAUGAAAGGAUAUCUUGUAAGCAUUAUCAAAGGUUCUGAAUAUUGUCAGUUUUAUUAUGCAGCUAAUGGUUUUUAUUCUGUUUUAUUUAAUCACUGAUUUUAACUUCAAUUUGGAGUGUUUUAUAUAUGUUCCUGCUAGGAAGAUGGGACCUAGAGAACUAUUGAAGUCUUCUUCUCCUUCCUUCGGUCGGGCAGAUGACUGGGUGACAAACUGGGAUUCUUCUCGUCCUCCUGCUUAUCCUUCGGCACUCGGGACUCGGUCGUCGGGUGAACACCGGAUGGUGGGGGUACCUGCGAAGGCACUCCGACGCUCAAGUCAGUAAAGCAGGUGGUUAGCUCUCAGGUAGGUGAACAGUAAUAAUGACAUCCCUUACUCCUUGAAAUGCGUGCUAUUUAUAUUAUUCUAGUGGGCCUACCUUGUUGGGCCCGUUUAUCGAGGUGGAUACCGCUUAGGGUUGCAUUACCUAAUUCCUGGUGAUGGAUUAGCUUCACUGAUCUUGGUUUGAGCGUUAAUUGUAAUGGGGUUCGGCCAUCGGCCAAGCACUCGUGGCCUUCGGCCGUCUUGGCUGAGUCUUCGACGGUCUCGGUCUCUCGGCCAAGUCUACAAAAGGUCUCGGACCCUUGGUCUUUCGGCCAAGUCCUCAACGGGGUCUCAGCCUUCGGUCACUCGGGCAGGUUGACUGGGCAUCGGGNNNNNNNNNNNNNNNNNNNNNNNNNNNNNNNNNNNNNNNNNNNNNNNNNNNNNNNNNNNNNNNNNNNNNNNNNNNNNNNNNNNNNNNNNNNNNNNNNNNNGGUACACUUGCUCCCCAGGCUCAAGGGCAGAUGUGCCAGAUAUGUCCGAUGAGUCUUUGAUGAUGGGAGUCGGUCGGUCUCCCUUGGUCGCGCGGGCGUUUCAUUUCUCGAGGUACGACAUGACUAGGCGGCGUGACGUGACUUCAGGCGGCGCGACAUGACGUGCAUUGAUGAGGGGUUUUUUGGGCGGGGGAGUUCGUGGGCCGUUAGAUCUACAAGAUCUAACGGUGGAGAUUGGUUUGACGUUUCGCAUUCCGAGGCCCAUGGGCCCUAUAAAUAGGGGUCUACCAGCGUCGAGGUCCCUCAUUUGCAUUCGUGAGUUUUUUCUUGGCAGCCGAGUGAUCAUUCGCCCAUUGCUGAGAUCCGAGCGACUUCUCGCCCAUUCUUACUAGGUUCGGUCUCGUCCAUUUAUUUACAAGGUUAGUGAUGUCGACCGUGUCUCGGCCAACGUCUUCUUCGUCCGACCAUUCUUCCCCUUCUCUCGGUCGCCCUCCCCGUUUUGAAAAGUCGUCGUCAUCUUCCUCUUCCUCUUUUUCUUCUUCUUCCCCCUCCUCUGCCGAGCCUACCUCGGUUGGGGUGGCCGAGGUGUCGCCCCGGGUAGAGGUUGUAAGGGGGGAUGUCUCGGCCAACGCUAUUGAUUGAUCAGAUUCUCUUCUGAUGGAUAUCCCGGCUGAUGUUGUUGGUCGGUCGGGCUCUCCCCUGGCAGCUAUUCCUUUGGAGGAUCUUAGCUGGGUGGAUCCUCGAGUGGUCGAGAUCUCGUCCCUCUAUGGGACCGAGUUGUCUGUGGCCAAGUUCUUGGCCCGUCAUCCGGUCUUAAAGGCGGAAGAGUACUCGAGUUACUUCGACGUCUUGCCUUGUGGGGUGGCCGAAAGCGUGUGUUUGGGGCGGCCAGGUGUUGGUCCCCCAUUUUUUUAUAUGUAUGCCUGUUUUUUCAAAGACCUUUAUGUUUCUCUCCCUUUCGAUGAGUUUACGAUGGGCGUCCUUCGGACGCUUAACGUGGCUCCUACCCAGGUUCACCCGAAUACCUGGGCGUCCCUUCAGGCCUUCCGCCUGUUGUGUGAUGUUAUGCGCCUUCAUCCCUCCCCCUCUUGUUUCCUUUCUUAUUAUAAGUCUCACCCCGCCUAAAAGGCUGCUUGGCAUUCUUUGGCCGGGCGGCCGGGUUUGGUGUUGUUUGACUCCUUCGCCCUCUCGUAUAAACGUUUCAAAGAGAGGUUUGUGAAGGUCGUCAUUCGUCCCGAGGCGACCCCCUUCUUUUUUGACUCAGCCGGUCGGUCGAGGUUCCCCCUAUACUGGACUUAGAAUCCCUGUGAUUUCAAGGAGUGGCCGAGGCCGACCGAGGGUGAGGACGAGUUGGGGGUUCUUGCCCUUUUUGACGCCUUACCGAGGAAGCUUCCAUGCUGGGGGCUGAUCGGCGCGUAUACCAAGUCUGCGCGAUGGGCGGCCGUGAGGGGUAUGUGUUUAGGCUUGUCUAGGGCGGUCGGUCUCUUUUAACUUGCGUGUGAUCUAACUUGUUUAUUAAUUUUGUUUUGCAGAAAUCAUGGUUAACGAACGACCGGCGGCCGUUAGUGUACUUGACAAGCACCGCCAAAAAGCGGCCGAACGCAAGGGCCGUCGGAGUUUAGAGGUGAUCCCUCCGCCAAGCGAUACAGGGGCGGCUGGUUCCUCUCAUAAGUCCAAGGGGCCGGUCGGCCCCUCCCACAGGUCCAAGAAACGUCCGAGGGACGUUAGCAACAUUGCCACCACCACUCGAUCACCCGGGUCAAUGCCGACGCCCCCUCCUUCUCGGCGAGUGACAGCCGAGGCAGUGACAAGCUCGCCCGGUCCUUUGGUGCGCGGGGCAGCCGGGCCAUCGGAAGUCGACGCUCGGGCAGCGCCCACCCCUUUCGACCUCUUGGGGGGUGGGUAUCGAUUUUCUCGAAGAGUUCGCGUCGCUAUUCCAGAUGAGGCCCGAGACUCCCUUCAAGACGUCUCCCCCUCGGACCUCCUAAAGAGUGGUUUUGAAUUGAUGUGCCGCUCGGUCGUCCUCUUUCAGAGUGGGCUUGUUGGCCGAGGAGGUGUCGGCCUUGGAGCACAAGCUGUCCGAGGCCAACCAUGACUUGGAGCAAUCUUUGGCUGCCAACACCACCCUAUCGGCCCUGAUUGCUACGGAGGCGGCCGAGAAGGAGUUGGCGUACAAGGAGGCGGCCGAGGCGAAGCGGCAGCUGGAGGCCGAGAGGUUGAGGGCGGCUGCUGAAAUUGCCAAAUUGAAGGAGCUGGUCGAGGAGAGAGAUAAGCAGCUCUCUGCCUCGACCACUGAGAUGGCCGCCCUUCAACAUGCCAAGGAGCAAGCCGAGGCCGAGCUUGAUGAAAACUAUGAAGAGGCCGAGGAAUUGCUGAAACAGUGCUUUGAAAGGGCCGUGCGUCAAGCGCACGUGCUUUAUGGCGGACCGCCGACCACUGGUGAGUUUGACCUUGACUGUGAGGUCUACCAGGGUCGAUUGAUGCCAAGUGCUGAAGUGGCCGCCUUAACUGCUCAAGAAACUGAACCGGCUGCGACCGAGGAGGGGGAGGCUGAGGUUCGGGGUAAGGAGGUCGAGGCUGAGGAGGAUGGAUGCAUUAAUAUUCAGGAUUAGGUUUGCCUUUGGUCGGGUUGUGGCCUUUUCUUUUAGCAUCUUCCGAGGCUGGGGCGUGGCCUUCUUAUUUUGUUUUUGAUGUAUCGCCCGGUGCUUUUUUCAUUUUUAUCAACACAUCGUCCAUCUUUUCUUUUAUCAGAGUUUGGCAUGAAAUUUGAGAAGUUUUGAACAGUCGGCCAGCCAUUCGUUCGGGCGCCAGCCAUAAAUUUUUGUUAAAUUCUAGCAAGUAAAAUGAGGGCGACCGGCCAUAAAAUUGGGAAUGUUAAUUUCGAGCAAUCAAAAUAUGGGCGAUCGGCCAUAAAAUUGGGAAUGUUAAAUUUGAGCAAUUAAGAUAAGGGCGAUCGGCCAUAAAAUUGCGAAUGUUAAAAUUCGAGCAAUUAAGAUAAGGGCGAUCGACCAUAAAAUUGCGAAUGUUAAAAUUCGAGCAAUUAAGAUAAGGGCGAUCGGCCAUAAAAUUGCGAAUGUUAAAAUUCGAGCAAGUAAAAUAAGGGCGAUCGGCCAUAAAAUUGCGAAUGUUAAAUUCGAACAAUUAAGAUAAGGGCGAUCGGCCAUAAAAUUGCGAAUGUUAGAUUCGAGCAAUUAAGAUAUGGGCGAUCGGCCAUAAAUUGCGAAUGUUAGAUUCGAGCAAUUAAGAUAUGGGCGAUCGGCCAUAAAUUGCGAAUGUUAAAAUUCGAGCAAGUAAAAUAAGGGCGACCGGCCACUAUUAACGAAUGUUGGGUUCGUGCGCGUGAAGGGUGGGCGAUCGGCCAUUAUUAGCGAAUGUUGGAUUCGAGCGCGUGAAAUGUGGGUGAUCGGCCACUAUUAGCGAAUGUUGGAUUCGAGCACGUGAAAUGUGGGUGAUCGGCAUACCGACACUUGCGAUGUUAUUCGAGCAAGUGGGCGUUCGGUGGGCCGGCACUUGCGAUGUUAAUCGAGCAAGUGGGCGUUCGGUGGGCCGGCACUUGCGAUGUUAAUCGAGCAAGUGGGCGUUCGGUGGGGCGGCACUUGCGAUGUUAAUCGAGCAAGUGGGCGUUCGGUAUGUCGGCACUUGCGAUGUGAAUCGAGCAAGUGGACGUUCGGUAGAAUAUUUCCAACACUUUGAUGAAAACGCCUCGUUAAAACCUCCUUGGUUGGGUGGGGAAAAAGUGCGUAUUUUUAUAGAUUUUAGCUGUAAUAGAACUUGAGGUGCGUGGCAUUCCACGUCCUCGGUACAAUUUUUCCUGAAAGCCAUUCUAGAUGAUAGGCUCCUCCUUGUGCGACUUCUCGGAUUCGGAAAGGCCCCUCCCAGUUGGAUGAGAAUUUCCCUUCAUUUUUUCUGGCGUCGCUGCGCAUUCUCCAGACGAGAUCACCCUUUUGGAAACAUCUCGGCCGGACUUUGGUGUUGUACCGUCUGGACGCCCUGGCUUUGCAGGCAGCCUCUCGAAUCUUGCUUUUGUCACGCAUCUCACUUACCAGGUCGAGGUUGACCGCUAGGCUUUCCUCGUUUAGGGUGAGAUCGAACAUCUGCCGUCGUAUGGUGGGCUUGGCCACCUCAACUGGGAUCAUUGCCUCGGUCCCGUACGUCAGGCUGUAGGGUGUCUCUUGUGUGGUAGUUUGGGGGGUGCACCUGUACGCCCAAAGUACCUCGAUCAGCUCCUCGGUCCAUCGACCCUUUGCUUUGCCCAGACGCUUCUUCAGUUCGUUGAGUAUGACCUUGUUGGCGGCCUCGGCCUGCCCAUUGGUUUGUGGGUGUUCCACCGAGGCCAUGAUGGACUUGAUGCCCAGGUCGUCAUAGAAGGACUGCAGGCCUCGGUCGAUGAACUGUCGGCCAUUGUCAGUUACUAUUGUGUGCGGGACGCCGAAUCGGCAGACUAUGCUCCUCCAUACGAAGUUUUGUACAUUCUUCGCCGAGAUGGAGGCGAGGGGCUCGGCCUCGAUCCAUUUGGUGAAGUAGUCGACUCCCACCAGGAGGAAUUUGGUCUGCCCCUUCCCUGGGGAGAAUGGACCGAUAAUGUCCAGCCCCCACAUGGCGAACGGCCACGGGGAGAUGAUGCUGUGCAGUUCUUCCGGCCUGGUGUGGAGGAGGGGGCCGAAUUCUUGGCACUUGGCACAUUUCUUGACGUAUUCAGCACAGUCGCCCUGUACGGUCGGCCAGUAGUAGCCGGCUCUCAAGAUCUUGGCGGCCAUAGUCCUUGCCCCGGCGUGAUUUCCGCAGACUCCUUCAUGGAUCUCGGCCAGGAUGUACUCGGCCCUUUUGUUGGUUAUGCAUUUUAGCAGGGGGGUUGAGUAGCCUUUCCGAUACAGGUCUUUGUUGAUCAUGGUGUACCGGGCGCAUUGUUGCUUCAUCGCCUUCUCUUGGUCGGCCGUGCACGUGCCGUCCGUCAGGUAUUGGAUGACGGGUGUCAUCCAGUUGUCGGCCUCAGCCUCUUCUUCUUCUACAACUAGACACUCGGCCUCGGCCUCUGUCACACUCGGGUGUCUCAGCCAUAUUUGUAUGACCGACCUCUAAUGGCUCUUCUUUUUGGCGACCGAGAGCUUGGACAGGAUGUCGGCCCUCUUGUUGUCCUCUCGCGGUAUGUGUUGCAAGGGUGCUUUGCUGAAGCGGGCGAUACUGUUUUUGGCCGCGUGGUAGUAUCGCUGCAGCAAAGGUUCUUUAACCUCGAAGUCUCCAUUGACUUGGCCGACCAUCACCUGGGAGUCGCUUUUGCAUGUAACCUCGCGCGCUCCCAUGUCGUAGGCUAGGUUUAGCCCGGCCAGCAAGGCCUCGUACUCGGCCUGGUUGUUGGUCGCCCGAAAUCCGAACUGGAGGGCUUGUUCCAGGAGGAGGUCGCCCGGCCCCUCUAGGACAACUCCCGCUCCACACGCUGUUUUAUUUGAGGAGCCGUCUACGUAGAGAGUCCAACCGGCCGAGAGGGUGGGCAAUGGUGUCAGCUCGGCCGAAAAGUCGACCAAGCAUUGAGACUUGAUGGCGCCCCUCGGCUCAUAACGUAUGUCGAACUCGGAGAGUUCGACCGACCAUCCUAUCAUCCUCCCUGCAAGGUCCGGUUUAGAUAAAAUUUUAAAAAUAGGGUAGUCGGUUCUUACAGUUAUGGAGUGAUUUUGGAAGUAGGGGCGCAUCCGUCUUGCCGUGAGGACGAGUGCGAGGGCCACCUUCUCGAUCAUCUGAUAUCGGGUCUCGGCCGAGUGGAGGGUUCGGCUCACAAAGUAUAUGGGUCGCUCCUCGCCCUCGGCUUCCUGCACUAGGGCCGCGCUGACCGCUUCUUCCGAGACUGCUAGAUAUACCAGGAUUGGGAUGUUGGGUCUCGGCUUCUGGAUGACGGCCUGGGAUGUGAGGAAUUCCUUAAAUUUUUUGAAGAUUUCCUCGCAUUGGUCGUCCCAGAUGAAUUUUUUGCCUUUUCGGAGCAACUGAACGAUCGGCCUCGUCUUCUCGGCCAGGCGGGGGACAAACCGAGAGAGGGCGGUCAGCCGCCCAAGGAGUUGUUGUACCUCCUUCACGGUGUUCGGGCUUCUCAUGCUGAGUAUGGCUUGACAUUUGUCGGGGUUGGCCUCUAUCCCCCGGUGGGUGAGCAUGAAACCUAGGAACUUUCCUCCCUCUACCCCGAAAGUACAUUUUUCGGGGUUGAGUUUCAUGUUGACUCCCCUUAGAGCCUUGAAGACCUCGUCCAGAUCCUUCAGAUGUUGCUCGAACGAGUCGGACUUCACGACUAUGUUGUCCACAUAGACUUCUACCGCCCGGCUUAUCAGACCCUUGAAAAUUUUGUCCAUGAGACGCUGGUAGGUCGCCCCGGCGUUCUUGAGGCCGAAUGGCAUGACCUCGUAGUAGUAGUUGGCAUCGGCCGUCAUGAAGGCCGUCUUCUCCUUGUCCCGCGGGUGCAUGCUUAUCUGGUUAUAGCUAGAGUAAGCGUCCAGGAAGCUCAUAAUUUUGUGGCCGGCUGCCCCAUCCACCAGUCGGUCAAUGUUCGGGAGGGGGUAGGUGUCCUUCGGGCAUGCGCUGUUGAUGUUUCUGUAGUCGACGUUAGGCUUGGUAACCAUGACGACGUUGGCCAGCCAUGUCGUGUAUCGGGCCUCCCUUAUGAAUCCGGCCGACAGGAGCUUGCCGGCCUCCUCCUUCGCUGCGAGUCGUUUUUCGUCUCCCAAGUCCCUCUUCUUUUGGGAGAUCGGACGAGCUUCCUUAAAUAUGGACAGCCGAUGGGUGAUGACAUCCGGACUUACUCCCGGCAUGUCGGCCGGCGUCCAUGCGAACAUGUCGACAUUCUUUUUUAGCGCGGCAUGCAUGACCUCGGCCUCGGCCGCCGCCAAGACUGUCCCCACAGCCGUGCUGUGCUCUUCGUCGAGGAGGGGGACUCUCCUCAGCUCCUCUCUUGCCUCUAGCCUUUCCUCGGUUGCCCGGGGAUCAAGGUCUACUAGUGCCACGGUUGGCUGGGCCUCCCUAGGCUGGUCCUUCCUGGGGGAGCGGUCCUUUCGGGAGGACUUUCUCGCCCGAAGGGGAGAGGUGUCUGUCCUUAGAGGCUCCACCCAGAGGCUCUCGGCGUAGCACUCCCGUGCUUCUUUCUGGUCCACGUGGACCGUGAGAAUGUCUCCUGUCUUCGAAGGGAAUUUCAUUGCGAGAUGAGGGGUUGAUACUAUGGCCAUCAGCCGGUUGAUGGAUGGUCGGCCGAGGAGGAUGUUGUAGGAGGUGUUGGCGUCGAUGACCAGGUACCGGAUUUUGAUGGUUCUGGUGUUCUUCCCCUCUCCGAAGGUGGUGUACAAGUCGAUAUACCCCUUGGUGGCCACCCUUUUUGCCCGAGAACCCUACCACGUGGUCGUCGUAUGGCAUCAUCUCGGCCUCGGUCAUUCUCAUGGCCUUGAAAGUUUUCCAGUAGAGGAUAUCUACCGAACUUCCUUGGUUUACGAGGGUCUUCCUUAUGGUGAAUCGAUCUAUGUUGACCGCUAUCACCAUCGGGUCGUCCUGCUGGCGGUAGUCUACGCUCUUGAAGUCAUCGUCCGUGAAUGUGAUGGGUGGCAUUCUCGGUCGGAAUGCCACAAUGUUUACCUGAUGUACUGCCCGGAGGUGCUUCUUUCGGGCGUUGUUCGUGCUUCCUCCCCCGGCGAAGCCGCCGGCUAUAGUGUUGAUAACCUCUCGGUUACCUCUCCUAUCGGCCUCCCUGGGGGGAUCGUCUCUUCGAGGGGGGUCGGCCCUUGCGGGUUGUCGGUCGCCUAUGUUGUUUUGGUUUUCUCGGCCGCGGUGAGGUGACCUCGUCCGCCUGGGUGGAUCCGCCCGGCCUGGUUGGUCUCGGCCAUUCCUGACGAACCGGCAGAGAUGCCCAGCCUGGAUAAGUUCCUCUAUCUUGUCCUUAAGGGCCUGACACUCGUCGGUUGAGUGUCCGGUGUUCUGGUGGUAUCGACACUGCUUCCUUCGGUCGGCGUUAUUUGGACUGGCCACCUUCCUUGGGGGAGGGAUCAGCUCAGCGUUAAGGGCUUCGUCCAGAAUCCUUCCCCGCUCGGCCGUUAGGGGUGUAUAUCUCGAGAAACGGAUCGGUCGGUCUCGGUUUUCCCAGCGCCGGUCCGUUCUCUGUAUCGGCCGCACCUGUCGGUCUUUUUCUUCCUUCCUCUCUCCGCCGGCCUCGGCACGGGCCUGGUUGCGGAACUCUCUUAGUUCCUCCAACUGCAUGUACUUAGCGGCUCUCUUUCUCAGCUCGUCCAGGCUGUCGGCCGGCUGCAUGCAUAGGUUGUCGGCAAAGGGCCCCGGGCGCAGGGCCGUCAGCAUGUGGUGCAUGGCGACAUCCGGACUCAGAUUUCGGAUGCUCAUCGCCACUUUACUGAACCUAUCCACGAAGGCUCUCAGCGACUCUCCCUUCUCCUGGCGGAUGCCUACCAGGGCGAUUGAGGUCAGAUGGUGCGGCCGGCUAGUCGCGAAUUGUGUUUCGAACUUUGCGACGAGCGUGGCAAAGCUAUCUAUGGAGUUGGGUGAGAGCUUGGUAAACCAACUAAGGGCUGCACCCUUCAAGGAUGUGGGGAACACUCGGCACAAGACGGCGUCGUCCGAGGUAUAGAGACUCAUAUGGGUGGUGUAGGCGUCCAUAUGCUCGUCCGGGUCGGUCGACCCGUCAUAUCGGUCUCGGUUGAAACCCUUCCACUUCUCAGGAAGUGGGACUUCGAUGAUGUUGUUUGUAAAGGGGUGACGGCGGUUCGGGUCGGCCGUCAGGGUCGUCCGGGUGGAUCUGAUUAGGCACGACUCGUCGCCCAUUUCAGUCUCGCGGGGAGGGGGUCGGCCUCUCGUCCCCUCGGCCACAUCCGGGUUGGGGGGAGAGGUGUAGGACUUGCCGACCACGUUCGUCGGUAUGACAGAGGGUCCUCCCUCCCCCAGCUUCUUCCUCAUAUCUUCGUUUUCCCUGCGGAGAGCUUGCAGCUCUUGCUCAUUUUUCUGAGCGGCCUCCUCGGCCUUUCUUCGCAUCUCGGCCAUCUCCCUCUGGAGAGACAGCAGCAGCAUUGUUUGGUCGGCUUCAGUCAUUCUUUCCAUGCUUCUUGUCGAAACCAUCUACUUUUUUCCUUCAGCUAGUUUCCCUCGGCCCCACGGUGGGCGCCAAUUGUUCUUGCUAGGGAGAUGGGACCUAGAGAACUAUUGAAGUCUUCUUCUCCUUCCUUCGGUCGGGCAGAUGACUGGGUGACGAACUGGNNNNNNNNNNNNNNNNNNNNNNNNNNNNNNNNNNNNNNNNNNNNNNNNNNNNNNNNNNNNNNNNNNNNNNNNNNNNNNNNNNNNNNNNNNNNNNNNNNNNCUCGGGACUCGGUCGUCGGGUGAACACCGGAUGGUGGGGGUACCUGCGAAGGCACUCCGACGCUCAAGUCAGUAAAGCAGGUGGUUAGCUCUCAGGUAGGUGAACAGUAAUAAUGACAUCCCUUACUCCUUGAAAUGCGUGCUAUUUAUAUUAUUCUAGUGGGCCUACCUUGUUGGGCCCGUUUAUCGAGGUGGAUACCGCUUAGGGUUGCAUUACCUAAUUCCUGGUGAUGGAUUAGCUUCACUGAUCUUGGUUUGAGCGUUAAUUGUAAUGGGGUUCGGCCAUCGGCCAAAUUCUCAGGGUGAGGAUCGGCCAUCGGCCAAGCACUCGUGGCCUUCGGCCGUCUUGGCUGAGUCUUCGACGGUCUCGGUCUCUCGGCCAAGUCUACAAAAGGUCUCGGACCCUCGGUCUUUCGGCCAAGUCCUCAAGGGGGUAUCAGCCUUCGGUCACUCGGGCAGGUUGACUGGGCAUCGGGCAGCCAGGUGGUCCCAGUCUCGCCCGGUACCGGUACAAUAUAAAUGUACAAAAAAGAAAUUAUCAAACACUAGUAACAUUUAUAUCCUAAAAGGGAAGUAAAAAGUGUAGUAUGCAUGUAAUGCAGGAACACAUAUCUAUCUUGUACUUACCAGACGCCUUUAGGAAGAAGAAGAACUUGAGAUACUGAUUACUGUUAUUAUGACUGAUGGAUUACCUGAAUAUAUGAGAGAAAGUGAGUUGAUAGGAAAAGCUAUAUAUAAAAGAUUCAGGUGGACUAUAAGCUAAAAGAUUUUAUAAAGAAAAAACUUAGGCAUAAGAAAUGUUGAAACUUAACCUCAAAAUGUGAAUACAUGUACAAUUAUAAACAACUUUCUUUCUCAUUCAAUCAUAUAUAUUCAGAAAUGUACGUUACUAUCCCCAUAAAUUUCUUGAGUUAGGAAGCAAUUAGAAUAAGGGUUUUAAAAUGCAAACCACACCAACGAGAAGGGAUUAAGAAGCAUCUCUCACCAAGUGAAUGAAGUUUUCAUUUGAAGAAGGGUGAAUAGGUGGGGGUAAGAGGUAUGGGUUUGUUAGGUUCUAUGAAGUUAGGAAGAGAAGACAGAUGGAGAGAGAAGAGACAACAUAUCCUACAUUAUCCAAUGAUACCUACGAGGAAUGGUCUAGACCGGUGAUUGAAACCAACCCAGUACAAAUGGCAUGGCUAACAAAAAGUUUAGUUGGAAGGAUACACAAUCAUCAACCCUUGAAAACAUAGAAGAAAAAGUUUAGUCUUGACAUAGUUUUUACUAAACAUUCAAGAUUAAGCCAUAUACACAAAAGAAGAGAAGGUAUAUGUCUUUCACCCAAAAAAGUUGCUGCCAUGUUCAAACAUAGAGUAUAUUAAUUCCAAAAAGCUUCUCAAAAUCAUCCUACUACCAAACUGCUUCAUCAUCUUAGCUUCUACAUAAGCGCAUUACUAUGUAUCAAAAAAAAUAAAAAAUUCCAUAUCUGUACAAUUACAGGUGCCGAUAUAAUCGAUUUCUUAGACAAUUUGCAAACAAAAUAUUUGGCUUAUAUAUUUGAGUGUCACCAAGAAAUUAGGCUUCACUAUGGAAAAUGGAGAAGAAAAAGGAGAAUGUAAUAACGCGAUAUUCAUGCCUCAAAUAAGAAAGAAUAUCUUUUACUUUCAUUUAAAUUUUUUAAUAUAAUAUUGAAAACAUUAUUAAAAGUAUUUUGUAGUAAUAUAUGACAUCAUUGUAAUAAAAAAUGACAAAUAUAAAAAAAUAACAAUUCAAUUGGGAUGAUGAAUUCCUACCUGUUUGUGAAACAACUGCUGGAUUGUUGCGUUGAGAUCCCCGUGAAAGGUUAAAUCAGAAGAAUCAUUCGAUGUUUUAAUUCCCAAAAGCAUUGGCACUUUUAUGACUCCUUCAGAGAAAGUUUCCAUUUUAGGGCAUUUAGCUACCAUUACCUUUUUCAAAUAUGAGCACUGCAAAGUGGCAUUCCCUGAACAAAACCUUACUAGACUUGGUAGGCAAUUAAGCUCAAUUGAUCUUAGUCUUCCAAAUACCAUUUCCUCACAAUCAUCUUCAUCUUCAUUUUUUGCAAUUUCUUUUAUUGAUUCACAAUCCUCCACAACUAGGCUCUCCAGUUUCACCAAACUUUUGAGUGUUGCAAAUGUGAAUAAAUACUCCAUCCUUUCACACUUCCUCACAGAUAACAUUUGAAGAUUAAUGAAAGACACAGCAGACGAAACUAAUUUUUCCACCAGAGGGCACUUGUUGAGCUUUAACAUUUCAAGUUUUUGACAGUAUGGUUGUACCCAAGGAUGCUCUAAACCAAUCCACUCUAACUCAUUUAGUUCCAACAAGGAUAAUUGUUGCAAUCUCACUAGUGCUGUGUCAUGAACUUUAAUCUUUUGAGAGGGAAAUAUCUCCUUCAGACCAAAGCAUUUUUCUACCUCUAGAUAUUCUAAAUUGGGUACCUUGUGAAAGAAAUCAAAAGGCAAAGUCUCUUUCUCAUUGUUAUCAUCCUCAAAGCACAAAUAAAGAUGACUUAACUUGUAAAGAAGGUCUUGUGGCACACGUGCAUUGCUCAACAACAUAAUAUUUUCCUCAUUGAGUAUCAAAUUCUUCAGAUUGGGAGAAGCCUAACAAUUGAGGCCAAACAAAUUCAAAAGAAAAAUGCAUAGUUGAUAUUAGAUAUAAGCUAUAGAAGGAAAAUAUAUAAUGAAAAGAAGAGAAAGCACAAAAAUGUAAAAAUGCUAAUGCUUCGUUACCAAUAUUUCAACCGAGAAUAAAGGUUGUUGUAGCAGGCUAAUUGGAGCCUCUAUAACUCCUUCUUUCUCACCAUCGUCAAAGUUUGAUGUGAAUAGCUUCAACUUAGGACAAAAAACCACUUUUAAUGUAUCUAGCAAGGGACAUUCCAUAUGAUGUUUUCCAGGAUAAAAGCAACUCAAGACUGGCAUACUCGAAAGAGUUAGAGAGGACAAAUAAGGGAAUUCAAACAUUAGUGUCGUUCCAUGUUCCAUUCCAUCUUCCUUUCCAACUAUUUCUAUUAAUUUCUCACACUCAUCUAUAUAAAGUUUCUCAAGCUUCUCAAGAUUUUUAGCAGAGGAUGAAGAGAACAGUGUUACCAAGUUUCCACAAGCACUGACAACCACUUCUUGCAAAUAUGGAAAACUGACAAAUCCUCUAGGAUUUUCCUUCCAUAGACAUUUCACAUUUGGCAAGUUUUGUAAAAUAAGCUUUUUCAAAGGACAAAGUAUUCCCUUCUCACUCUCAUCUAUGUCAAAUAUUACUUGCACUGCGCCAGAACUAUGCACAUUCAAUUCUUCUAAGUUAUUUAAGUAAGGAAGUACAUGAGAGGGAAUUAUAAUAUGUCUAUUACAUGCUGCAUCAAAUUCCAAUUUAUUGAAACUGCCAAAAAAGUUUUCCGAAAUAACGGGUUUUUUGUGCUGAACUUUCGCCAUCUCAAGAUAAUCGUCAAGAAUCAUGAGCUUUGAAUAGUUGAAAAAACCCUAAAAGAAAAAAAAAACACAAUGACAGGUUAAUAGACAACUAUACUUUACAUUUAAUUGAGAUCACUUGGAUUUAUCUUUCAUUGUUGAAAUCUAUAUAUAUUUACAUUAUUAGUUGUGAAAUAUAAAAUUAUCUUAUAUUAAAGUUCAUUUUUAUUUUUUAGUUAAAUUAUGAGCUUAUUGUCUACCUUUAUUAGGUAUGCCAACCAUUUCUGAUAUAAAAAAGAGAGCAAAAUAACAAUAAAAUAUGGUUAACGGUUUUAGCGCGGAUGAAAUUAGGGAUAUUAAGGGGACCGCGGGUUUAACUACUUCAUCUUUAUCCAACUUAAAGGAGUGGAUGUGGGGGGCAUGUGGAAGGAGGAACCAUAUUAGGUUAGGUCGGAAGCAAAAAAACUGUUUGAAGAAAUAUUUUCUGCCACAAAGGAUUACGGGAUUAGAUUUGGUGAAGUGGAGUUUAAAUCUAUAUCCAGGGAGGAUAAUAGAUUCUUAAUAACUGGCUUUUCAGAGGAAGAAAUAAAGGAUGAAGAAAUAAAGGAAGUGGUGUGGAUUUGUGACACUCGAAGAAACGGGACCAGAUGGUUUUAACCUUAAUUUCAUAAAGAAUAACUGGGAAGUCUUGAAGAAAGAUAUUAUUGAGGCGGUUAGACAAUUCCAAGUUACGGGUAGAAUCCCUAAAGGCGGCAAUGCUUCUUUCAUAACUCUUGUACCUAAGGUGAGAGACUCCCUUCAAUUAGAUCAGUAUAGGCCUAUUUCAUUGCGUAUAAGAUUAUCUCGAAGGUCCUAGCGAGUAGAAUUAAGAAGGUUCUGUCAUCGAUUAUUGAUGAGAACCAGUCAGCUUUUUUAAUUUUUUUCAUGUUGAUGGAUGGAGGAGAACUGGGAGGUACUACGGGUGCUUUAUUAGUGUUAUCAUUGCAAAUUUCAUGAUGGAAGUCUGCUCUGUUUAAGGGGAUGGCUUCCUGGACUAAUUUGGUGUGGUGGUUUAGGGUACUACUAUAUUGUUGCAUUUAGUACUGCCUUGUUCUGUUAUGCAGGUGUGAGGUAAGCAAAGGUAGCCAUACGGAGUCGCUAAUGGUUUGGUAACAGGGCCAGAAUAUCUUUAUGACAAUACCAUAUUGUAUCAGCUAAGUGGGCUCUAAAUAGAAGUAAUGGGAUGGUGGAAAUGUAAUCUAUAUAUGAUGCAGCUUGGAUGUUUAUUUGUUCUGUGGUACGUGGGACUUUUUCCAAGCAGUUGAAGACUUUGUUUAGUUUGGCCUAGUCUAUUUGGUCUUUUAGAUGCGUCAAUCUCCAUGUACAGAUACUUAGGCCAUGGUUUUGCCCAACUUCUGUUAUAUUAGUUUUAGCUUUUUUACCUGUUAUCUAUUUGGUUUGUUUUUUUUAAGAUGGGUUUUGUUUAAGGGUUGGGACACCCUAAAAUAUUUCUUUUAAUUUAUUUAUUUUUUUGAUAAAAAAAAAUAUUUUAUGUAUCCAUGAAUUAAAAUUAAUUAUUUCAAAGAUAAAGUUUAUGAUUGUGUUAGGUUGAUUUCGUUGUAUUUUUGUUUAUUGUUUUCUUCACAAAGCCUUUUGAUCAGAGAAAAACUUCAAAAAAUGUGUCACGUAUAUAUCACUAGUAAAAUUACAUUUGAGUAACAAUAGAAGUAAGAAAGAAUGUGUCCAAAAGGUUCUCUUCGGGUUUAGCAACAUUCUUUUCAAAGAAUAGCAUUAUGCAGGUGGUUGUCAUUAUAAUUAUAAGAUUCAUGUUACUCUUUUUGUGGUAAUUAGUGAGUGGAAGGAAGGGAAAGGAAAAGGGAAAUAGGAAUGGAGUGGACCCUUUUGCUAUUAAAGAAACUAAUUUGUUGUUUUAUCAUUUUUAUUAAAUAAGUGAUGUUUUCUUUAUAAUAAAAUACAAACUAAUUAAUGUCCAUAAUUUUAGAAUUAGUAAGAAAAUAUUUUAUAACAAAAAAAGGAAAGGUAAUAACUAAUGUAAUAUUCAUCUUCAGGAAAGAAGAAUAUAUUUUGCUUUUAUUUAAUAUUUUAAUAUAUUGUUGAAAAUAAUAUUAUAAAUAUUUUGUAAUAAGAUAUGAUAUUAAUGUAGAAAACUCUAUAUAAAAUAAUAAAUUAGUUAUUGUUGUAAAUAAUAUGAGGUUUUGGCUUAAACAAGGUCAUAUCAUUAAAAUUAGUUAGAUAUUAAAACAUAACAGUUGAAUUUGAGGAAUGAAGUGCUACCUUUUGGUGAAACAACCUCUGAAUCGUUAUGUUGAGAUUGCCGUCGAAUGUUAAAUCAAAAUCCUUUGAUGUUUGAAUCCCCAAUAAAGCUGGAGCUUUUAUGACUCCUUCAGAGAAAGUUUCCAUAUUAGGACAUUUAAUUACCUUCACCGCUUCCAAACACGAAAAUUGCAAAGUGGCAUUCCCUGAAUAAAAGCUCACUAGACUUCGUAAGCAAUUUAGCUCAAUCAAUCUCAGUCCUCCAAAUACCAUCUCAUCAAAACCAUCUUCAUCUUCACAUUUUGCAAUUUCUUUUAUUGACUCACAGUCCAUUAUUUGUAAGUUCUCAAGUUUUACCAAACUUUUGAAUGUUGCAAAGGUGAAUAAAUACUCCAUCCUUUCACAGUUCAUCACAAAUAACCUUUUAAGAUUAAUGAAGGACACUGUAGACGAAACUAAUUUUUCUACCUGAGGGCACUUGUGGAGAUUUAACAUUUCAAGCUUUUCAGAGUAUGGUUGUACCCAUGGAUGCUCUAAACCUACCCACUCUAACUCAUUUAGCUGAAACAAGUUUAAUUCUUUCAAUCUCACAAGUGUUGUGUCAUGAACUUGAAGCUUUUGAGAGGGGAAUAUCUCCUUCAGACCAAAGCAUUUUUGAACACGAAGAACUUCUAAAUUGGGUACCUUGUGAAAGAAAUCAAAUGGCAAAGUACCUUUCUCAUUGUUAUCAUCCUCAAAACUCAAAUGAAGACCAUUUAACUUGUGAAGAAGGUCUUGUGGCAAACGUGCAUCGCUCAACAACAUAAUAUUUUCCUCAUUGAGUGCCAGAAUCCUCAGGUUGGAAGAAGCCUAACAAUUGAUGCCAAACAAAUUGAAAAGAAAAAUAUAUAGUUGAUAUUAGAUAGAAGCUAUAGAAGGAAAUGAAAAGAACAGAAAGCACAAAAGUGUAAAAAUGUUAAUGCUUCGUUACCAAUAUUUCAACCGAGAACAAAGGUUGUUGUACCGGGCUAAUUGAAGCUUCUAUAACUCCUUCUUUCUCACCAUCGUCAAAGUUUGAUGUGAAUAGCUUUAACAUAGGACAAUAUUUCACAUUUAGCGAAUAUAAUAAGGGACAUUCCAAAUGAUGUUUUCCAGGAUAAAAGCAACUUAAGAUUGGCAUACUCAAAAGAGUUAGAGAGGACAAAUAAGGGAAUUCAAACAUUAGUGUCGUUCCAUGUUCCAUUCCAUAUUCUUUUUCAACUAUUUCUACCAAUUUCUCACACUUUUUUAUUGUAAGUGUUUUAAGCUUCUCAAGAUUUCUGGCUAGGGAUGAAUAGAAUAAUGUUACCAAGCUUCCACAACCAAUGACAACCACUUCUUGCAAAUAGGGAAAGUUGACAGUUCCUUCCAGGUUUUUCUUCCAUACACAUCUCAAAUUUGGCAAGUCUUUUAAAGUAAGUUUUUUCAAACAAAAGAUUAUUCUCUUCGUCUUGAUCUCAAUAUCAUUAAUGUCAAAUAUUAUCUCCACUGCAUCAGAACUAUGCACAUUCAAUUCUUUUAAGUUCUUCAAGUGAGGAAGGACAUGAGAGGGAAUCAAAAUAUCUCUUUUACAUGCUGCAUCGAAUUCCAAUUUCUCUAAACAGUUAAAAAAAUUAUCUGGGAAAAUAGGUUUGUUGUGCCGAACACCUUUCAUCUCAGGAUAAUCAACAAGUCUUGCGCACUUUGAAUAUUCAAAAGAAACCUAGGAAAAGAAGAAAAUGUCAAGAGUAAAUGACAUUCAAUGAUUAAAUGUCGAUAUUAAAAGUCUCUAUACAUUGAGUACGUUUAUUUAAUGAAAUCCUUUUGGUAUAUUAUCAGUUACGAACCAUUUGAAUGAAAUUAAAAAUAAAUAUUUUAAUGAAUACCUGAUCUGUGAAAUGUUUCUGCAAGGUUGCACUCAAAUCACCUUCCCAAUACCACUUGUAUUUGUCUUUGGUUGCAACAUGUACUUUCACUAGGUUUGGAGUACUUUGGACUUCAGAUAAUUUUGACAUUUGAGGGCAUUCACUCACUACUAAUUUUUCCAGUAGUGGGAAUUUUAAGUCACACUCAUUUGAGAAACACUUGAGAUUUUGUAGAGACACCAAUUCUAGUGACUCUAAUAGUUUAAACUCAAUCUCUUCUACUUUUUCUUCAACAUUUUCUGCAACAAUUUCCACAAUCAUUGGACAUGAACUUACUUUCAUCCUUUUGAGUUGAACCAAGGUUUUAGCAGUUGAGGUUGUCAUUAAAUUCCUCAUCGUACAAUUCACCACUUCUAAAUAUCUUAAGUAACUAAAAGAUACCGAGGACGACGCUAGAUUUCUCAAUUUUUUACAUCGUUGAAUGAUUAAGCUUUCUACCCUUUGAAGAAGCACGUCAUGCUCAAAGCCAAUCUCUUCAAGACCCCACAUGCUAUCUAAGCUCAACUUUUUAAGUUGCAUAACAACACCUAUUUUUUCACGUGAAAUAAGACUUUCAGAAGCCCAAAUCCUUUCCAAGUGACACAAUCCCAAUCUUAAAAUUUUCAAAUUGGGAAGUCUAUGAAGAAACCAAAAGAGAAUUUCACUAUUAUUCAAUCCAAUCAAGGUAAGUUCUUCUAGUUUGUGCAUUCUGUGAACAUUAGCAAUGUAUUUCUGCAACCACUCUACUACGUUCAAGCUUAAUGACAUAUCUUCCAAGUUGUAUAUCACCUAAAUAAAUAAAUAAACUUAUUAGUAUCAAAGUAUACGUUUGAACCAUAAUGUAUUAUUUUGCUACAAGAAAUAGAAUACAUAAUCUCACAUCCUUGUCAUGCACUGCUAAUUCAUGUUUUUCAUCUAAACAAGGCAAGUUCUAUGUUUCCCAUAGAAAAGUUCUAGAAACAAACUUUGUGUACCUUUUUUGUAGCUAAAACAAUUGGUUGCACUCUUGAAUUUGUGAUUUCUGAAGUGAACCCUUCCAACAUGCUACAAUUGACUAUUCUCAAUUCCUUUAAUGCUGGCCACUCUAAAGUGUGAGUUCUUGGGUAGAAACUCCUCAAAUUAUAUAAGUAUAACAAUGAUAGAGUGUUUAAAUGAGGGAACUUAAAAUUGAUAGCAUCUACACUUGCAUGUUUGUCCCAAGCAACAAUUUCUUUCAUUGCCCAACAUUUUCGUACCUUAAGGACUUCCAGUUUUUCUAGGCCAAUGAAAACAGAAAGUGGAAAGAGAUAUUUUAAAUUUGGACUCCUAUCAACUCCUAUGCUUCGUAAAUUAUUAUAUUUAAGUAUUUCACUAAUAUCAUCCUUCCAUAUGUUCACCAAAUUUGGAAGCAUUUCUAGAAUUAUAUUAUCCAAGUUUGUUUCAUUUAUAUCACAAGAUUGUGGAAUAUUUGAAAAGUCAAAUAUGUUUUCCACCAAUUUGCAAUUUGUAAUUGUCAAGCUUUGAAGCGUCUGCAAUCUUUCCCCCAUAUAACUAGGAAAAAUCGUAACAAGUUUGUGACACUCUCUUAUUAUCAAAGAGUCCAAACUGCGAAAGGAAUGUAAUCCAACAUGGGAAAUCCAAAUGGUACUGAGUUUCUCCAUGCAAAUUAUCUCCAUUUUCUUCAACUUUGGGAAAACGUCAAUAUACUGUUACAAAAAAAAAAAAAGAUUGAAGGUGAGCAAUUGAAAGACCUAAACAAUUCAUACAAUUAAACAGCAAAUGAUAAUAUUAAUCAAACUCAAUAUUAAAUGAAUCCACACACCACUGCAUUUUCUGGACGAAAUAUAUCUUCCAUCAUUUUACACUCAGUUACAUAAAGGCUUUGAAGAUUCACCAAACUUUCAGCCAUGGAGACUGAUAGCAAAUACUUUAAAUUACCACAAUCUAUCACAUUCAAUGUGAGCAGAUUUUCAAAACAAUGGUCAUAUUGGUCACUCCAUAUCUCUUGGAUGUUGAUUGUGGAUAACUCCAGCCAUUCUAAUUUGGGAAUUGAAACCUGUAAGAACACAAAGGUAACUAUAUAUUUUGACAGAUGUUUUCCCUAAGAGAAAUGAUAAAACUUAAAUGAGUUAAGUUUUUUAUAUUUCUUUUAAAGGAAUAAUAACAUACAAAUUAAACUUACGAAUGUAAUUAUGAUAAGGUUAUUACAUACCUUUCCAUUGAAGAGUGGAAGGCAAGAAUUAAUGACCCUAUUCUCAAUGUCAGUGAAAAUAUCUUUGUUCCUGUGUUGUGGUACUCGGUCUUGCAGCGAUUGUGCACUAUCAGACAUCUUAUCAAUGGUAUAUAAACAAGUAAAUGUUGGUAAAGACUUUAAGGUUAAAAGUCGUAACUGAGGAAACUCAAUCUUGUCAUCACGAGUUUGUAUUUCUUCUGAAACUAUAUUGUCAUCAUGAGUUUGUCUUUCUUCUGAAACUAUCUUCUUGAAAGAAUCACAAUCACACACUUCAAUUGUUUCAAGCAGAGUGAGGAGUCGAACCAUGGAAAAUGGGAAAAGGCUUCCCAAUUUAACACAUGUUUUAAUCUUGAUCACUUUUAAACUACGGAAAGAUGCCUCAGCAAGCUGAUUGUCACAUAUUUUCUCCAAAUUAUGCAGUUUGUAAAGCCAUAUGGACUCCAAUUUGGGAAAAGUGAGUAAAGGGUAAAACUGCUCCACAUGGUUGAUAAUAUACUGAAUGCCAAUAUUGUUUACAAUGGAUAAAUGCUUCAAAUUUGGAAAUCCCUCAACAUUUAAUUCAUAGAAAAUAUCUUGAACAUCGUUGAGUUCCCCCAACAACAAACAUUCAACAUUUUUUAACAACAUUUUAACCCAUUUUUCUGAAUGAAUAUCAAUACCUUCUUCUAGGUUCAAUGCCAGAAAUUUCACCUCCUCAUACUUGUCAGGAACUUUGAAUUCUCCCACUUUAUUCAAGUUAAGCAAGUUGAAUUCACCAACGAAAAUCUUGUAACUAUUCAAAUUGUCGAAAAACAAGUUUCGCGAAAAAUGGCCAGAACUCUGAAUGUGUAUGUCUAGAUUUUGCAACUGAUUCAAUUUCCUUAACUCAGACAUACUAGCAUUUGCACUAUUGAUAGUUUCCUCAGCCUCCCACAGAAUUAGACUGUCUCUGAUAUAAAGUUCCUCUAAAGCGUUCAUCCUUGGUAUGAUAUUGGACCUUAUUUCUCUUAGUUUUGAGCAAUUGCUUAUGUCGAAAAGCCGAAGCUUAUCCAAUUGCCCAAAUUCAAGAGGCAAACUUUCAAUAUUAGAUCCUGAAAGAGUAAGGAUUCGUAAAUUCUUUAACUCACCAAUGAUUGAUAGGUUAUUUCCUAGAGUGCAUCUCUCCAAACAAAGCAUUCUCAGUUUUUUUAGGCAUUUAAUUGAUGAAGGUAAGCAAGAUAGAUUAACACCAGUCAAUACCAACACUCUAAGUCGAACCAUAGAUUUAAAAAAGUCAUCUGGUAUUUUGAAAGAUUCAUUUUCAUUGUCAAUGUGCAAGACUUCAAGUCUAGGACAAUGUAUACUCUCAGGAAGCUCAUCAUUGAUGUCACAAUAGUGUAAAAAAAUGGCAGUGUACCUUUCAAAUUCAUCUUCGUGAGGCCACUCAUCAAGAAAGGCAUUUUUCAUAUAAAAUACAUGUUUUUCUUUGGAUGAUAUUGAAAUAGCAACAUCUCGCACAAUGUCAUGCAUGUUGAAGCGGUCAUCAGAAUAACUCCUCACUAACAAACUCGAUUCUUCUAGCUCCUGUAUAACCUCCUUUACUCUUUUCCUCGCAUCUGUUAUUGUGUGGACUCCUUGCAGCAAAUUCAAACCAAUGCAAAAUUUGACCAAGUCCAUAAUCAAAGCAUCAUGUCCCAUUCUUGCGCAAUGUAAGAAAAUAGACUUUAGCUGCUCAUUUUUUAGAUGAUCGUAGCUCAACUUGAUAGAGAAGUCAGUAAAUCCCCAUUCUUCUGUAAAACUUUGUCUUUUAAUUUGUUGACAAACAUGCUUCCAUGCAGAUAAGCUUUUAUGCUUUAGUGUCCUUCCUAUGGAAACUAUUGCUAUAGGAAAUCCAGCACUCCAUUUGGCAAUUUCAGUAACAUUACCAUCGAACUCGGAAGUUUUUACGUCAGCAACUUUCUUAAGCAAAGUCUCUGCCUCUUUUUCAUUGAGGACUCCUACUGAAAAAGUUGAGCUCUCAUGCUCAUCCAUUUGAUUACAUAGUACAUGUUUAUAUCUAGAAGUUAGAAGAAUUUUGCAUCCUUUGUAACUCCUAGAUAACUUUCCCUUUUCCAUCUUAUUCAAAUCAAUUUUUGACAACUCUUCUUUCUUGGUCUUAUUGUUACCAAAUUCAGAUAUGUCAUCGCUGUUUUCAAGAUUAGAUAUCUCAUUGACCUCUCGUUUGCUUUCAUCAUCAUUACAUGGAAUCCCAAGUUUAUUCAAGUCCAAUCCAUCCCAAAGAUCAUCAAGGAUAAUAAGGGUGUUCUCCUUUUCGUUCUUUAACCUCUUUCUAAUACGAUCUACUCUUGAAAUCUCAUUUUCCCCUUCUAAUCUCAUUCCUAGCAUGUCAGCAAUUUGUCCUUGAAUAUUUUUGAAAUCAGGAUUUCUGCCAAUAUUUGCUAUGACCACUGUCUUGAACAACUUAUUUUCUCGAGCUAUCUUAGCAACUUCUUUGACUAAAGUGGUCUUACCAACACCACCAGGCCCAUGAACUCCAAUCAUAUCAAUGGUAGAGUCUUCCAGUGCUUUCAAAAUCAUCUCCAUAUUUGUAUUUCUAGACGUAAAGCUCUCAUAGCCUAUGUUUGAAAAAGAAACAUCAGUGGAUGGGCCUUUUUGAUACGAAACAUUGUCAAAACCUUUCUCCGAAAGUUUAUCUCGUUCGAUUUCCUCUAUCUUCUUUGUAGCUUCUCUGCCUAGUUGAUACCUCAAUUUGAAGUUAUUUGGAAAGAAACCAAGUGAGCAAAUUGUCUUUGCAUGACACUCAUUGUGAAUAUAACUUGUAUAUUCUUUUAUCUUCUCAUCCAUCAGCUUUAAGCAACCUUGAACGUCAUUUUCAAUUUCAUCUGCAUUCCUUAGUGCUUCAUCAACUUGUUGUUGUAGCCUCUCCCUAUUAUCUUCCAGCUUCUGAAUGUAAGAUUCCAAGUCUUUAAAUUUGUCUUUGUAGUUGAAAAAGUAGCCCAUUUGUCGUUUGACCACGCGUGCUACAAUUUUCACUGCACUUUCAGUUGUUGUAGAGACAAUUGUUUCCAUAUCCCUUCACAAUGAACGCUUUCGUCUUGAUUUUUUGCUUCCUACUUUUAAUUAGUAAUUUUCCCCCCUAAAUAUUACAAAACACAAAAGGAAAUUGAUAAAAAAAAUUCAGCAAACAGAAACGAAUUUUGAUGACACUUAAAAGUUCAUCUAAAAAACAACAUAGAAACCAAAAAAUGUUUAUAGAUACUAUAAUAAUUUAUAAAAUUACAGCAUUAAAAAAGUACUAAAAAGUUGUCAAUGCCAAAAAAAUUGUACAAGUGAUGCCAGUUAUUUUCGAUUGAGAUUUUUUUUAGCUUCACUUAAUAUUUCUAUAUGACUUUUAUUUUGCUGGUAUGUUCGGUUAAAAUUUAAAAAACAAAUUAGUUGUAAGAAUGACUCAUGAUGUCUACUUAUAAUAGCGUAGCCAAAAUUCAUAGUUUUUCUAUUUAAGCUUUUUGCUAUAAAAUUAGAAAGUGUGCAAAAAAUAAUAUAUCAAGAGAUCAGAUUUAACUCCUCUUCUACCUCUAUUAUUCGUUAUGUUUUUAACUUUUUAUCUAGUAUCUAAUUAGUUAAUGAUAAAUAAUAUUUUCAAAGUAUUUCUAAUAUUAAAAGAUCAUAUAAAUAAAAAAAUCCAAUAAAAACUUAUUAUAAAAAAAUAUAAUUUUUAUUCUAACUUAAAGGUUCCUUUUAGUUCUUUAUCAUUUUCUUAUCCAUAUACUUACCACUUUCUCUUUUGGAGGAAAACAACAUUUAUGGAAUGAUUUGUCAGUAAUCAGGCAAGCACAGAUGAGUAAUACGUGGUGUGUUAUAGGUGAUUUUAAUGUAGUAAGAUCCCUUCAUGAGAAGAAAGGUGUUAAUAACCAUGGAAUGAUGAAGGAUGCUGUAAUAUGUUGGAGAAAGAAAGAUGCAAUGUUAAGAUUAGUUGAAGGAUAAAGAGAGAAGAUCCUGGAGAUGCAAAUUCCAAACAAUCAGUAUACAGGAUAACAGGAUUUGCCCAGCGACAUUUGUAUAACAAUCUGUCGUAUGUUUUUAAGUUGGCAAAUGCUUCCUAUACCCAAUUAUUUUUAAUCUGCACCCAACAUAUUUUUUUAAUUUCCAAAAAUAUUCUUUAUUCUGGAAAUAAAAAUUCAGAAUUAAAAAUAAUAUAUUCCAAAAAAAUAAAUCCAGAGUGAUUAUUGAGUUUCGGAAAUAAAAAUCCAGAAAAAAAAAUUAAAAUUCUAUUUCAGACAAAAAAAUAUGGAAUUGAAAAUAAUACAUUCCAGAAAAAAAAAAUCCGAAAAAGAUAUUAUUGUAUUUUGGAAAUAAAAAUCCGGAAAAAAAAUGAAAAACUCAUUCUGGAUAAAAAAAUUCGUAAUAUAAAAUUUCGUCCUGGAAAAAAAAAAUCCAAAACACAUAUUUCGGAAAUUUUUUUUAAGGAUAGUUUCGUCUUUUCCGGUGGAAUCGAGUGCAGUGAUAUGGUGCAGGAAGCAAUUGCCUUUUAAGUUUAAGUUAUUGGGCCUAUAUCUUUCUUAUGGGCUGUGUUCCUAAGCCCAAAUUGUUUUUUUUUCUUUUUUUUUCUCUUUCGUAUGUAUAAAGCCUUAUCUGUUACAACAUCUGAAAAUAUAUGGAAAAUACAGUUUUUAGUUCUUUCCAGAAAAUGCUUCUUGCUUCACCCACACUGUUUUGUUCUUUACUUUCUUCUUGAAAUCAAGAAACUCAAGAUGGUAUCAGAGCGAGUUUGACCCGCUCUUGAAAUCAUGAAACUUAAGAUGGUACUAGAGCGAGUUUGACCCGCUCUGACUUGCGCUUGCUUUGAUACUCCGUUUCUCCCUAUUUUUCUUCACAUUCUUGUAUCCUCUCGUCUUGCUUCUUCCAUGGCUUCCGAGGACUCUUCACAAGACCCAGCGAGUCCCUGCUAUCUUCAUCCCGGAGAGAAUCCAGGAGCGGUCUUAGUUUCACCUCCACUUGACGGUAGUAACUAUCAUUCAUGGAGUCGCGCGAUGAAAAGGGCUUUGCUCUCGAAGAACAAAUUUAAAUUUGUCAGUGGAGAAAUUCCAGAACCGACACGCAAGAGCAAACAAUACGAAGCAUGGGAGCGCUGCAAUGUCAUUGUGAUUUCGUGGAUUAAUCGGAGCCUUAUCACACAAAUUGCUCAAAGCACCAAUUACAUUGACAACACAAGGGAUUUAUGGGAAGAUCUGAAGGAGAGAUUUUCCAAAAGCAACCAUUUCUGCACUUCUGAUCUCCUUCAAGAAAUAAAUUCGAUUAGGCAGGGAGAGAGAAGCAUUUCUGAGUAUUACACAGAUUUCAGAAUAUUGUGGGAAGAACUGGAUUCUUUACGACCCAUUCCUACAUGCAUUUGUAGUUCCAAAUGCACCUGCAAAUCCUGGAUUCUUGAUACCGGAGCCACUGAUCAUGUAACCUGUGAUAUGUCUUUGUUUUUUACUUAUUAUGAAAUUGAAAUCGUGAAAGUUAGACUUCCUAAGAAUACCUAAGUUAUUGCAAAAUGUGCUGGGACCAUAGUCUUAUCUAAAGAUAUCAUAAUAUACAAUGCUUUAUUUAUUCCCGAAUUUGCUCUGAAUAUAUUAUCUGUUUAGAAACUCAACACCUCAGUUAACUAUAAAUUUGUUUUCUUUUGUGAUGAAUGUCAUAUUCAGGACACAACUACAUCCAAGAUGAUUGGACGGGCUAGGCUUGGUGCAUGAUUUUAUAAUCUUGAUUUUUCAUCCGAGAAGAACAUUGCUCUCUUCACUCAAACUGAUGAGCCUUUUCAGCAUGUCAAAAAUCUUGAUACAUGGCAUUGUAUAUUGGGUCAUCCCUCGAGUAAGGUGUUAGAAUGCACGAGUAAGACCUAUCCAGACAUAUACUUUGAUAAGAACAAUAUGUGUACUCCUUACCAUCUCGCUAAACAACAUAGAUUACCUUUUCCUUUAAGCAAAAGUACAUGUGAUAAUUCUUUUGAUCUUUUUCAUAUUAAUAUUUGGGGUCCUUUUAGUAUUCAUUCUAUUCAUGGUCACAAAUAUUUUCUCACUGUAGUGGAUGAUUACACUAGAUUUACUUGGGUAUAUAUGAUGAAAAAUAAAAAUGAAACACGUAAGCAACUUUGUUGUCAUGGUUAAAAAUCAAUUUGAUAAAGGAAUUAAAAUUAUUAGAACUGACAAUGGCCAAGAAUUUUCCUGAAAGGAUUUCUAUGAUAAGCACAAUAUCAUUCACCAAACCACUUGUAUUGAGACACCACAACAAAAUUCUGUGGUAGAACGUAAGCAUCAACACAUCUUAAAUGUGACCCGGUGUCUCAUGUUUCAAUCUAAUCUUCCUAAAUUUUUUUGGUCUUACGCCAUAAUGCAUGAUGUUCAUCUCUUAAAUAGAGUGCCUUCUUCUGUUAUUUCAAAUAAAUGUCCAUAUGAAAAAUUGUACACCAUUGCCUCUGAUAUAAGUAAUCUUUGUAUCUUUGGAUGUUUGUGUUUUGCCUCUACUAUUGAAAACAACAGGAAUAAACAUGAUCCUAGAGCCAAAAGAUGUAUUUUUAUGGGUUUUAAGGCAGGAACAAAAUGUUAUAUAGUCAGUCAUUGAUGCAAAAACCAGAGAAAUAUUUGUCUCCAAAAAUGUUCUCUUCUAUGAGAAAAUCUUUUGUCAAGUCAUUGAUAAAAGUGAACAAAAUGAGCUAAGCUAUGAUCAGAAUUUUAUGGAACACAUGUAUGACAGUUAUCAUAGAGGCAACAUGAAUGAAGUUGCAAACACUGAGAACAGAGAUACCGAAGAUCUCAGAAGAUCAACAAGAACUCAAAGAAGCCAUGCAUACCUUGAGGAUUAUCAUCAUCAAUUGCUAACCUCUUCAGAGAAGGUAAUAAACACUGACACAACAAGGUAUCCACUCAAUUCGGUCCUAUCAUAUAAAAAUUUAUCUGAUGAGCAUUUUAACCAUAGGUUUCAUCCAAUCUCAAGGUGACAAUUCUUUCUUUAUCAAAAAAUUAGAAAAAUCUUUUAUUGCUUUAUUAGUCUAUGUAGAUGACAUUAUUAUAAUCGGUGAUGAUAUGCAUGAGAUAAAUAAUGUGAAGAACUUGCUGAAUACUACUUUUAAAAUCAAAGAUCUAGGAAAAUUGAAAUAUUUUCUUGGCUUAGAGAUAACACGGACACAUGAUGGUAUUCAUCUUUGUCACAAAAAAUAUGCUCUUGAGAUCCUUGAUGAUGUAGGGAUGCUAGGUGCCAAACCAACAACCACACCCAUGCAGAAAAAGGCAGAGAAUAUGUUUGAAGAAGUUGACAUUCAUGAACCUUCAAGUUAUAGAAGACUCAUUGGACGUCUUUUAUAUCUUGUAAACACUAGACCAAAUAUAUGCUUUCUUGUUCACAUAUGAGUUAGUUUUUUCAAAAGCCUACAAUCCAUCAUCAUCGUGCCGUUCAACAUGUGUUGCGAUACAUAAAAGUUGCACCUGCACAAGGUUGUUCUAUUCAAAGAAUUUUCUUUUUGCAUUUAAAAGCUUUUAGUGACUCUGACUGGACGUCAUGUUCGAUGACUCGACGCUCAACAACUGGUUUUUGCAUUUUUUUGGGAGAAUCAUUGAUUUCAUGGAAAACCAAGAAGCAAAGCAUGGUUUCUAGAUCAUCCUCAGAGGCAGAAUACCGUGCCUUGGCUUCAACUUCAUGUGAGCUGCAAUGGUUGACAUUUCUUCUAGGAGAUCUCCAUGUCACCACCUCCACCACUGCAUGUCUUUACUGCGAUUCACAAGCAACUAUGCAUAUUGCUCUUAAUAGUAACUUUCAUGAGUGUACGAAACACAUUGACAUUGACUAUCAUGUUGUUCGUAAAAGGCUGCAACAAUUUUGUUCCACCUUCUGCCCAUUUGAUCUGCAGAGCAACUUGUAGACGUUCUAACAAAAGCCCUUGAGAGAAGCAUUUUCCAAAAACUUAUCAGCAAAUUUGAAGUUCUUUGCAUACAUGCUCCAGCUUGAGGGAGGGUUUUCAGUUUAAGUUAUUGGGCCUAUAUCUUUCUUAUGGGCUAUGUUCCUAAGCCCAAAGUGUUUUAUUUUCUUUUUUUUCUCUUUCGUAUGUAUAAAGGUGUAAAUGUUACAACAUCUAAAAAUAUAUGGAAAAUACAGUUUUUAGUUCUUUCCAGAAAACGCUUUCGUCUUCACACACUGUGUUCUGUUCUUUACUUUCUUCUUGAAAUCAUGAAACUCAAGAUAUGUUUUCCUUUUUUUGCUACUUGCACCGCCUUCGUUAAUGUGUCACCUUCAAUUCCGCAUAUUCAUUUCUUGCUAUGUACAUCAUCUUCUCUUUCCAACUUUGUCUCUUGUCUUUUCAGGUAUAUUAUCGUAGUCUUUCUAUUAUGAUUCAUUAAUGUUUGCUUGAGUGAAUGAAUGAAUGAGAGGAGAAUAUGAUGGCAAAGAAGGUGAGUGAGUGCAUGUGAGAGUGAAUAACACUUCAAUAUUGUCCUCUAUUGUUAGACAUAUCUUUAAUUUGUCUAUAAUUUUAUUUAGUAAUAUGUUAAUUACAUUUUAAUUAUGAAUUGAAGAUGGAUGGAAGUGCGAACUUUUUCUUCUGUACAAAAAUUUAAGUAUUUCUUCCAAUCCUCUUGUUUGAAAAUUUCAUAUCAUUUGUGUUGUAAUAAGUUUCAAUUGAUUGUAUUUUUUUUAUUUUUAAAUCUAUAUUUAAUUGUGAUUGAUUUUAUGUCACUAUUUUUAUUUUGUGUUACUUGAAAAAUAAUACAAAAUAAAACUUUACAUUCAUAAUAACAGGAGUAAAAAUUGAAAAAAAAAACAUAUAUUUUACCUGACUGGUUGGGUUCUCACACAAGCUUCAUAUAAUAGCUGAAACAAUUCCAAGCAGAUGAAACCUAGUAUAUAUGUGUAGUCAUAAUAUGUCAGCUAAGAGAAAUAUUUUUGGAAAUGAGAAAAAUGAUUAAAAUAAACUGGAAAUAAAAAAUAAGAAAUAAGCUAUAAAGAUUUAUAUUAAAUUGAUGUUACCUUGUAUGAAAUUGAUAGGGUUCCAUGGAGAAAGAAGAUGUUGUGGAGUUGGUAAAAUAGUUGGGAAAGGCCUGUAAGUUGAAGUUAAAUAAUGAAAAAGGAAGGAAGAGAGAUAUGAGAAAGUUUGUAUGUUGAGUAUACUGUGAGAGAAGAACUUACAGAUUGUGUUGGAUUGAGGUGAUCAAACAAAAAGAGUUUUUCCAGAAGAUGAGAUUGAAGGAGAUUUAGUUGCAAGCUUUAAGACCAUGUGAGAGUGUUAGUGUUGCUCUGCUAUGGAAGAUAAAGGAGGAUGAAUCUAUGGCUACUUCUCUGUAGUCCCCUCAGAUUCCUUGUGAUAUAAAACUUUUUACAAGGAACCAUGGAUUUUAGCUCCGUAAAGUUUUUAGAGUUGUUGUUGAUUAGAGAUGUAUGGUGUUUAAAAUAAUAAAAGUAGUUGAUGAUAUGCAAUGAUUGAACCCAUUUAUGAAUCAAAAGGUUAAAAAAAGAGUAAUCGUUGUUGAAAUAUAUCCAAGGUGGAUCUAAAUAAGUGAAUGAGAUAGUUGCAGAAGAGAUAGGAAAAAGGAAAAGAAAAGAAGUGUAUGAGAUAUUUGACCUGAGUGAUUCACUGCUGCACGUGGUUUGUAGUUGACUAGGGUGAGUGCAGUUGGUUCAUUCAAGCACUGGAGCUCAUAGAAUCUUCAGGUGUCAUGUCAGCUACACCAUUAACAAAACUCAUUAGCAGAACCGUGCAACUUCGAAGGGAGAGUUCUUUUUUUUUUCUUUUUCUAAUCAGCAAACUAAACUGAAGAAGAAAGAGAAGGUAGAAUAGAAGGGGUUGGUUAUGAAGUUGGGUGUUUGAAGCAUAAGAAGAGGCAAAAAGUUGAGUGAGUGUAUGAUGAGAGUGGUGAUAGAGUUUGAGGUGUUAAAUGAAUCCGAAGAUUAGUGAGGAUAAGGAGAAUGGAUGUAGGGGCUAGCUGUCUGUGGAUCUCAUCUAGAAUAUCGUUCAGUUUAAACUUAUAAAACUUGACUUGUAAAAUCUAAAAAAAAAUUAAAAUAAAGUUGACCAAGAGGGUGGAAGUUAUUAUUUGGAAUUUGGAAAAGAUAUAUGAAACCCGAUUUGGUGACCAAUAAAACUUUAGCCAUGAGAUAAGUUUUGUUUUCAUAUUAUAUUAUAGUUAUUAUUAUAUUUAUUAAUAUAAUUAUUAAUAUAAACAUUUAUUAAUAUUAUUGAUAUAUUUAAUAUUAUUCAUAUUAUUAUUAAAAUUAAUAACAUUAUUAAUUAUUAUAAUAUUAUUAUUAUUAAAUAUUAUAAAUUUUAAUAUUAAUAUUAUUAAUAUUAUAAAUAGUAUUAAUAUUUUUAAUAUUAUAAAUACUAUUAAUAUUAUUACUUAUAUUAUUAUUAAUAUUAUAUUCAUAUUAUUAAUAUUAUUAUUAAUAGUAUUAAUAUUAUUAAUAUUAUUAUUAAUAGUAUUAAUAUUAUAAAUAAUAUUAUUAAUAUUAUUUAUAUUAUUAUUAAUAAUAUUAUUUAUAUUAUUAAUAUUAUUAAUAUCAUUAAUACUAUUAAUAUUAUUAAUAUCACUAAUAUUAUUAAUAUCACUAAUAUUAUUAAUAUCAUUAAUAUUAUCAAUACCAUUAAAAUUAUUAAUAAUAAUAUUAUUUAUAUUAUUUAUAAUAUUAUAUUAAUAUUAUUGGUUUUGUAAUGUUAAUAGUAUGCAUAUCUAUUAGUUAUAAUUAUUAUUAUUUAUUAUUAAUAUUUAUGAAUAUUAGUUAUGUUGAAUUUACAUACACAAAUUUAAAUCCGUAGAUAAUAAUUUGUAGGUAAUAUUGAUUUUUCUUUUGUAGUAUAAUAUCCUCUAAGUUGAUCAUUAUGAGUCAUUUGGAUUAGUCAUAGUCAUAUAACUAUAUUCAUUGUUCCAUAAAUAACCACUCAUUAUUUAAGACUCAUUGAUUAGGCCGUUUUACUCAUGAUGAUCAUUGAUAGCAAUGAAGGCUCGGUUAUGGUUAAUGGUAGCCCGACUACAUAAUUUACCAACUAGGAGUUUGAGGUAGGGGGACCCCUUAGCUCCUUUUUUGUUCCUAACUGUGGAUGGGAAGUUGGCUGGAUUGGUAAGACAAACUAUUAAGGCUAAUCUACUUAAAGGGAUGGAAUUAGACAAUACUGAAUUUGAGGUUUAUAUGCUACAAGUUGAUGAUACAUUUUUUUAUAUGUCAAACUAACUAUCAAAGUGUUUUUACAAUAAAAUGUAUUUUAAGGUGCUAUGAGCUAGCUUUGGGAUUGAAAAUUAACUUUCAUAAAUCUAAAUCUAAGAUUGUGACUUUAAAUGUAGGGAGAAGUAGGUUUAGGACCUACGCAUAAAUGCAAAUUGUGCAAAAAUGGCUAAUACCAUUCAAAUGCUUAGGCCUUAUUGUUGGAGGCAAUACAAGGAGAAAGUUGUUUUGGGAACCCAUUCUUGACAAAGUAAGGGCCAGAUUAAAUGUGUGGAAAGGAAGACAAUUGUCUUUUGGCUGGUAGAAUAUGCUUGAUUAAAUUUGUUUUCACUGCUCUACCUAUUUUCUACCUCUCUUAUAACAAAGCUCUAUCAGAAGUGUGUAAAAUGAUUACCCGUAUCCAAAGGAGAUUUCUCUAUGGGUGGGGGAAACAUAAUAGAACAAUUGCUUGGAUAAAUUGUGCUGGAGUGCUUAGGCAUCAAGGAUACACAUUAUUUCAAUUAUGUCCUAUUGGCUAAGUGGAAGUGGAGGCUACUCAUUGAAAAAAAAUGAAGAUGGAAAGAAGUACUUCAAGCAAAAUAUGGUUUGGUCUCGGGACAAAUAGGUGUUCAAGCUAAAUAUUAGUCUUGAUGGUGGAAAGAUCUGGUCAAAUUAUGAGGAGAGGGAGAAGGUGUUGGAUGGUUCGAAAAAGGUGUAAGGUGGAAAGCCGGAGCAGGUGACAUAAUCAGAGAUUUUGGGAGGAUCACUGGGUCUAACAAUGCAACCUUAAGGAGAUGUAACUAACUAGGCUAUACACCAUAUUAGUUAAGAAAAGCAGUUUGGCUGGCAUUAAGUGUUAAAUGAUGAGUAUAAAUCCCUUCUAUGGUUGCUAUUCAAAUUUCUUAAUGGAGUUUGGUUUCACUAGGGUAUUCCUUUAUGACGAAAUCCAAAGGCUUUUCCUUUUUGGAUCCGUUUAUUCAUUAGAUUUCUAAAUAUCUGCGUAAUUUGAAAGGAGCUUAUAAUCUUUAGGUGGUUGAAUUUCAUUUUUCAGUUUAAAUUGUUGAGCAUUCCCCUCUAACAUCUUUCCUGCUGGUUUGACUUUAGAAUAAAUUAUACCAGACUUACUCUGGUCUGCUAUGGGUGAAUUGAGGACUGUUUGUUAAGUUGGGAACUGUUAGAUAUGAGAUUGUUCAGUAGCCUUUACCUAAUAGAACAGCCUUGAGAUGAUUUGUCAUUGACGUGCUAUCAUAUUGAUUAUGACGAAGUGAAAAGUUGAAUCCUGUCUGGCAGUUCACUUGGCUUAAGUUCAAUUAAGCACAAGGUUGGAGGGGCAUUUGUCCAUUAUCAACACUUCAAACUCCCAAAGGGCUUGCAUAAGGAGGUGUUACUUAUAAACCAUUUUUGAGUUUUCACAUAAUAGCUUCAAUUUUUUGGAUUAGUUGGUCUCAAGUCAUCAACAAAAAAAUAUAAGAUGGAAAGCAAACAGAGAUUUGGAAAAGAAUAAUGUUUUUAGGUUGGCCACCCAAAUGUUUUGCAAAAGAAUAAGGUUUUUGGCUUCUCUUUUGUACUAGAUACAUGGUCUUUUAAGUGGGUUGUAUGCUGUUACUCUUGAGUUCUGUUUUGUUUCUCUUUGUAAUUUUUUCUUUAAUUAGUUGUCUUGUCAGGGAUAUCUUAUCCUCCUAUAUUUCUAUAUCACUUUUUUCUUUAUGAAUUUCUUUUUUACGUCAAAACAAAAUUACCUUCACAACAAUUCUUGUUGCUGCUUGCUAAAUUGUGCAAACACUUUCUUAGACUUUGUGAUGAUAAUUAUGUUUGGAGAUUUUAAUAAACAGAUUUGUUCAUAAUAUUUUCCAAUUCAUCAAACUAAAACGUCGGGGGUUACUGAGUUAGUGUUAUAAAUUUCAUAGUUUUAUGUCUCUCUAUGGAUUGUUGUUGCUUUGCUACCUUGAUCAUACCCUCUUCUUAACUUCAUCUUUUUUAUUUUAUUACUUGAUUAUUUCCGUUUCAGGGAAUUUCAAGCACUACAUUUCUGGCAAAUUCACCUGAGGAAACACCUGUUUUGUCACCUUUAGUCCCAGUUUCAUCUUUGGGUAGUUCAAAAGGUGAAUACCAGAAGCAGAAAGCUGUGACUAAGCCAGAAAAAGUUCAAGCAAUAUUAAAGAGAAUAAAGCAGGUUUGAGAUGCAUAUCACUGUUCAUGAUUGUUUGCUUUUGGUUUUCUUAUAUGCAGCAGUUGGUUUUCCUUCAUUAAGAACAUGUUAGGUAGACCUGAUCAAGUAUAUGUUGAAUGAAUUUUGAAUGAAAUGAUUCCAAUUUUAAGUGCUGAAAAGUACAAUAUGAAAACUUAUAAUAUACCAGACAUGGCAACAUCGAAGGAAAAGUCUUUUAAUUACUUAAAUAGUGAAACAGUACUUUAUUCAUUCAGUAUAAUGCAUGUGAUGAAUGUAUUUAGAAAUUGCACUAUUAAAUUUGUAGCAUUCUCUAGCCAAAAAAUAUUUUAAAAGAAGAAACAAAUUUUAUUUUAUAAAUUAAACUAAUUCAACUGCAUGCUAUUAUGGCAACUGUUUUUCUCCUUUAAAACAAUUUUGAGAGUGGAGACAGUAAAAGAAUUUGCUGUACUCUGUUGGACUGGACAAGUUUCAUCUUUCCAAGUGCAACUGCCACUGCCAAACGCAAGAAUUGCACCUUCUUAUGUGACAAAAUACUAGUGGCACAUCUUUGCUUUCAUUUCUUAACUGCUAUAUAUAUGGCAUAAUAAUAAUGAUGAAGAGGUGAAUACUUUUAAACAAUGCUUGUACUUCUACAACCAAGCUAAUAAAGUACACUUAUAACUGUUGAUUGAACAAUCAACAGUUGAUUGUCUAACUCCUAAACUUUGGGUAUAAGUCUAACCUAAUCUUGUAAAAAUGGUUUGUAAAUCAAGGUUUGGAUUCACCCCACUUGUGUACUCUACUUUAGUCAUAUCACUAAACAAUUUGAGACUAAGCCAUCAUCAUUUAGGUAGCAAAACCAAUCUAAUAAAGUGUAGUUUAACUGUUACAGUUGAGUGUUGUGACAAAAUCAAUUACAUGUCUAAUUUUUAAUCUUUGAGUAUUUCAGCCUCAUAAAUAAAGACUUAUAAUUUAUAAAUCAAGGUUUGCACCUCAGUGUAUACUCUACUUUAGUCAUAUCUCCUUUGAGGUUACAAUUUAGGCAAUCCCCAAUGAGCUUGUAACUUAGGCAAGGUAGGGGUGAUUCCAACAGUAACAAAUUCUGAAGUUAAUUACAAUCUUAACUUUCAAUAUUUUAAUCAGCAAUUGUUAUUGCUGAAUUGCAUUCCUCUCACUUUAGAGCUGCUAAAUCUGUCGACAUUUGCCCCCAUGGGUGUCUAAAUGAUCCUAAUCUGUUAGAUAAAUAAAAAUAAUAAGGUUCUCUAUAUAACAUUCAAAUAAUUAUAUUCUAUUUUCCCCCCAGUUUCAUAGUUCCCAUCCUAGUUCUACUUACCAAUCUUUCUUUAACUGUAUCUACUUAUUGGUUUAUCUCUCCAUUUCUAACCUUCAAUGUUCCCACACAUUUUUGCGUUUGGUUUUCUAGUAAGCACUAAUGCAGGCUAAAAGAAAACCAUUGAUUUGACAAUAUAAACAAGUAUCAGUGUAUCAUCACUGUUCCGUCCGGUUGACCGGGACGUCUUCAUGCGCGACCUCAACCGUCAGCUAGGGACUCCUUCCCACUGGUUGCCUGUGGAUUCCUGCAAAAAAGAGGACAAAGAGGCGCCCUAGCAGCCGUGUGCACUCCGACGCUCAAGUCAGCCAGCAAGAAACACCAAAAACUGUCCACCUGCGUGUCUGAGCACCGCGUAUGGCACUCUGAAGGUGGUAAAAGAACUGUGUAUAUGUGUGUGUUGUCUCUUUCAGGCAAAAAUAUUCCCCAGUCACUUGUACGUAACCUUGAAGCACGAGCAAGCAACUAGAGAGUUCUCUGAUAAAUUUGCCGAAAGUUCCAACCCUUUUUCCAACAUUCUCCGCGCUAUUUAAAAUACCCAAGCAUUUAAAGCGCCUUAAAGCGCUUUUAAUCACAAACAUAACGCACUCAUCAAAGCGCUUAAUUAGAAAACGUAGCGCAUUUAAGACGUUGAAACGCUCGGGAGCCAUUAUAGUACCUGAAUGCUCGAAAGGGAAACUGUAUUGAAUGACUUUUAAUUACCUGGCACCUGACUAAAGGGUGUUUCUAUUCUGGCAUGGCUGUCGUACACGUGGAGGGCCUCACGACGCCAUGACCCCAUCUGGGGGCGCUUCGGCCCACCUGGGGACGUUUCUACGUGUGAGUCCUCCUGCUGGGAGUGCUACUGCGCUAGGGGUGACUUUUUGGGUGCCAACUCAUGCCCCCAAGUAUCUAGUCACUUACUUUGAGAGCGUAUCUGCCUUCCUUUUGUACUCUGCACCCGGUUGCCCUGGGCGUGACUUUCCUCUUGAGUCGUAUCGGCCCCACGGGCGUCUCUGGGGCGGCAGGAGCACUUCACGAGUCAGGCUGCCCUUCACUGGUACUAUUACUAUGGCCUUGAAGCCACCUUUUCCUUCUCUUUAUCACUUUCCCGAGAUAUCGGGACCUGAGGCUUUCCCACGACGUCGCUCCGUCCAUGGUCUUUCCUACCCAUGGGUAUUGGGGAACCACACCGCGAUUGCCUUGUUUUUACACUGUUUGAUCUGGCGACGCCCUGGUUGGGCGACGCCUCCACCCAGGCGACGCCUUGCCUUGGUGACGCUUCCUCUUGGCGAUGCUGGCACUUGGCGUCUCUCCACAUAGGCGACGCCUUGCGUUGACUUUGACUCUCCAGCCGUUGACUUUGACUUUGACUUAGUCAACGCCCGGAUACGGGACGGUACAAUCACAAUUAUAUUCAGCAUAGCUAUAAUAGGAGUUUUAAAAAGUUGUAAUGCUUUAUUUCAUAAUGCUAUAUUCAGUAUCUGUUAUCAAUUUUUGCAGACAAGUUUGAACAUAUUUUUUAAGCUAUUGGAAUACCUUCCUUGGUUUGAUGUGUAAACUAAUUGAUUGUUUAAGGGUCUGGUUCAUAUCUGACUGAUUACACUUUUUACAUGCCCUGUCUUCUAUGGUAUUUUAGAGUCCAAAGAAGGUAAACUUAGUUGCUGCUCUGGUUCGUGGCAUGCUUGUUAAAGAUGCAUUGAUGCAGUUGGAAUUGACAAUAAAACGAGCAGCAAAAACUGUUUAUCAGGUAGUAACACUAGUUGUCUUUUACUGUCACCUCACUGACAAGAUUGCAAACACUAUAAUUUUAAUUGCUUUCAAAAAAGUUCCUCUUUGAACGCAUCAGAUUUUAAUAAUCUUUUUUCUCAAUAUCUUUGCCCCAUCCCCUGGCCAUUUUUAACUUUCCCAAUUAUAACACCAAUAUAAAAUUCUAAAGUAUCCCCGCUCUUACUUGCAUUUUGUCUGCAUUUAACACAACAAUUUAUGAUUAUUUAGAUUCGAGUUAUAUUCAUUUUCGGUGGAGAGAAAGGUUAUAUUCUAUUACCUUCUAUAUGGUAAAGCAAAAUUGGUAGCAUUUGUUUUAAAAUCCUACCCAUUGUAGGUCAUUCAUUCAGCCCGAGCAAAUGCCUCUCACAAUCACGGGUUAGAUCCAGAACGUCUCCUAGUAGGUAAUAUUUCGAAGUUCAUAAUUAUUUGAAGUGAAGUUUAGUUACAUGAAUUACAAUAGAACAUUGUUUAAUCUAUAUAGCUGACCUCAUCUAGUGUGAAAGGCUUAAUUGUUGUUCUAUCUGUGAUGAUCCUGGUUUGUUGUUUCUUACAGCGGAAGCAUUUGUAGGAAAGGGAUAUUUCAAAAAGAGACUUGCCUUCCAUGCCAAAGGAAGAUCAGGACUCAUAAUGAGACCAGAGUGCAGGCUAACAAUUGUAGUGAGAGAGAGAACUGCGGAAGAAGAGGAUGAUAUAGCUAGGCUGAGAGUUCACAACUUCAAGAAACUAAAGAAACUAACUAAGCGGGAGAGACGACUUGUGCCUCAUCAACUUAUUGAGACCACUCCUGUUUGGGGCCGCAAAAGCAAAUCUAGUGGUCAAAACUUGAGUGCUGCACCUGCAUGAGCCUCACUUUGUUUCCAAGUUUUCAUGCUUCAUGGCAUUUUGUGUAAUAGAUUAUUCUUCUUGGUCAUCACAUAAUAUGGAACAGUUGAAAAUUUUGUUUGCCCUUGUUGCAAAUGAUAGAAGUUUGU
Molecule: long non-coding RNA, 39462 nt
Filed under: Phaseolus vulgaris (common bean)
Lineage: Eukaryota; Viridiplantae; Streptophyta; Magnoliopsida; Fabales; Fabaceae
Description: long non-coding RNA (PVUL_LNC001432)
Source: RNAcentral